AGCGGAACAGGGCCGGAACUGAGGGGGAUGUUCGCCUGGUCAACGCCCUUUCCAGGUUCACUCGUAAUGAAAAGGUCGCGAGUUCGAUUCUCGCAGGCA
Molecule: transfer RNA, 99 nt
Filed under: Rhodococcus (subgen. Prescottella) equi
Lineage: Bacteria; Bacillati; Actinomycetota; Actinomycetes; Mycobacteriales; Nocardiaceae
Description: Rhodococcus hoagii tRNA-Thr
Source: RNAcentral